This 264-nucleotide unclassified non-coding RNA is filed under the name Hevea brasiliensis (rubber tree). Lineage: Eukaryota; Viridiplantae; Streptophyta; Magnoliopsida; Malpighiales; Euphorbiaceae. The record is from RNAcentral.
UGCUGCUGGGAGCCUUGCAACACUAGUGAAUUGGUUCGGAGCAUGGGCGUGCUCCUACACUUUCAACUUCCUCAUGACCUGGAAUUCUUUUGGUACGUUCGUUCUGUAUGCUGCAGUGAAUGCACUGUCCAUAUUAUUUGUGAUAAAAAUAGUACCUGAAACCAAAGGAAGAACUUUGGAACAAAUCCAGGCUGCUAUCAAUGCAUCAUGAAAUACCUUAGCCUUCAUCGAUUCAUCUUUCGUACUGAAAUUUACUUUAUCAGA